AUUGAACGCUGGCGGCAUGCCUUACACAUGCAAGUCGAACGGCAGCACGGGAGCAAUCCUGGUGGCGAGUGGCGAACGGGUGAGUAAUAUAUCGGAACGUGCCCAGUCGUGGGGAUAACGUAGCGAAAGCUACGCUAAUACCGCAUACGAUCUAUGGAUGAAAGCGGGGGAUCGCAAGACCUCGCGCGAUUGGAGCGGCCGAUAUCAGAUUAGGUAGUUGGUGAGGUAAAGGCUCACCAAGCCGACGAUCUGUAGCUGGUUUGAGAGGAUGAUCAGACACACUGGGACUGAGACACGGCCCAGACUCCUACGGGAGGCAGCAGUGGGGAAUUUUGGACAAUGGGCGCAAGCCUGAUCCAGCAAUGCCGCGUGCAGGAUGAAGGCC
Molecule: ribosomal RNA, 385 nt
Filed under: uncultured bacterium
Lineage: Bacteria
Description: bacterial SSU rRNA
Rfam family: Bacterial small subunit ribosomal RNA
Source: RNAcentral